GCAAGCGUUGUCCGGAAUUAUUGGGCGUAAAGAGCUCGUAGGCGGUCUGUUACGUCCGCUGUGAAAACCCAGGGCUUAACCCUGGGCUUGCAGUGGAUACGGGUAGACUAGAGGCAGGUAGGGGAGAAUGGAAUUCCCGGUGUAGCGGUGAAAUGCGCAGAUAUCGGGAGGAACACCGGUGGCGAAGGCGGUUCUCUGGGCAGUAACUGACGCUGAGGAGCGAAAGCGUGGGGAGCGAACAGG
RNAcentral lists this ribosomal RNA (243 nucleotides) under uncultured bacterium. RNAcentral describes it as "partial 16S ribosomal RNA". It matches the Rfam family "Bacterial small subunit ribosomal RNA", at positions 534 to 776 of the family's 1533-position model. The record is from RNAcentral.